GUGGGGAAUAUUGGACAAUGGGCGAAAGCCUGAUCCAGCCAUGCCGCGUGUGUGAAGAAGGUCUUCGGAUUGUAAAGCACUUUAAGUUGGGAGGAAGGGCAGUAAGUUAAUACCUUGCUGUUUUGACGUUACCGACAGAAUAAGCACCGGCUAACUUCGUGCCAGCAGCCGCGGUAAUACGAAGGGUGCAAGCGUUAAUCGGAAUUACUGGGCGUAAAGCGCGCGUAGGUGGUUUUGUAAGUUGGAGGUGAAAUCCCCGGGCUCAACCUGGGAACUGCCUCAAAAACUGCAUGACUAGAGUACGGUAGAGGGUAGUGGAAUUUCCUGUGUAGCGGUGAAAUGCGUAGAUAUAGGAAGGAACACCAGUGGCGAAGGCGACUACCUGGACUGAUACUGACACUGAGGUGCGAAAGCGUGGGGAGCAAACAGGAUUAGAAACCCGUGUAGUCC
This 450-nucleotide ribosomal RNA is filed under the name uncultured bacterium. Its description in RNAcentral is "partial 16S ribosomal RNA". It matches the Rfam family "Bacterial small subunit ribosomal RNA", at positions 354 to 796 of the family's 1533-position model. The record is from RNAcentral.